This 82-nucleotide transfer RNA is filed under the name Felis catus (domestic cat). It matches the Rfam family "tRNA". From Rfam's summary of the family: Transfer RNA (tRNA) molecules are approximately 80 nucleotides in length. Their secondary structure includes four short double-helical elements and three loops (D, anti-codon, and T loops). The record is from Rfam by way of RNAcentral. Lineage: Eukaryota; Metazoa; Chordata; Mammalia; Carnivora; Felidae.
GCCUGGGUGGCUCAGUUGGCUGAGUGUCUGACUUUGGUUCAGGUAGCGAUCUCACAGCUUGUGAGUUCGAGCUCCUCAGGCU